AAAUCACUUGGGAGCGAACGCUUCAAGGUACAAUCCCUGAGCUGUGAGCAGAGGGGCCUGGCCAAGAAAAACCCUGUGUCUGUGUUUAUGAAAAGGCAAACAGAUCCCAAAGGGAGGCCCACGUUCUAGCUGGCGUUGGGCACAGGCCCUCCAGGAAAGCACACACAGAUUCGAAGGAGGCCCUGGCACAGCUUCUCCGGGACCCCAGUGAGCCCCGUUUCAGAGCCCUCUUUAGACACACAGAAUACGAGGAGAGGGAAAGGGCAGCGUGGAGCCUUCUCUUCCUUAGUGCCCAGUAAACGCUGUGUCUGCUCACCGCCGCUUCAGUCCAGCCACGUGAAGCACGUGCACGACCUCAGAACUGAUCCAAUCCAAGCUCCUUUGUACCAGUGGGGAAACCAAGGGCCAGAGAAGUCAAGUGACUUGCCCGAAGGCACAGAGCUAAAAACUGAAGUCAGGAGACCGGGUCUCCUCACCCUGAGGUCAGGGUUCUUUCAAGCCAGAUUCUUUCUCAGUUUAGCCUGAGGCUGCCUGCUGCAAGGUACUUCCGUAACACCUGGAUAAAUCCUUCACAUGAUAAGACUUGUUGGACUCCAGAGACCAAGGUGUAUCUGCUUGACCCGGCCCCUCCACCCCUGAACCUGCCAAAACUCAAGGACUCUCUCUGGAUCUGAGAUUUGGAGACUGGGGAAGACGAUAACCAUGUGAAAACCACAAAGGCUCAACCACGUGAGGCUCCAGCCCACCCCGUUUUUCUUUCUCCCAUCAAGGGUCCAUAAAAGCCUGCCCAGCUGCCCAGAGAGGUGACCCCUUCAAGCCUGACCGACCGUGUUGACGUUCUGCCGGCAAUUGUCUGCAGAGGAGCCCUUGUGCCCCUUUUGAAGUUCAGUGGAGUGAAGUGUAAUCUAAGUGAGCUGGAACACGUUUUGAUAAAGCAGCUUCCAUGGCCAGGGGCCUCCUUUUGGCAAAGCCAUUAACAUGGGAAGCUGAGCCGGGGCUGAGCUUUUCGUCUGGGCCCGCCAGCCCGUCCCCUGGCCUUUGAUCACAGGACAUUAAGAUACUUGCGCACAGAGCAGUAGUUCAGUUCUGACCUCCUUGUUUUCCAGAUGGGGAAACUGAGGCCCAGAGAGGAGGAGCGACUUGCCUGAGGUCACACAGCUGGUGAGGGGCAGGGUCAGUGCUGGGACCCUUGUCCACACCAGCCAGGCCUUCCUCGGGCUGUACAAAAUGGUGGGUGGUCAGUGACAAAAAAGAGAAUGCAGAGGACGACGCAAUAGGGAAGAAUCAGGCUCCCUCCCUGGGGAAGGCUGGCAGACCCUGGCAUCUGCACGCCAGCCAGGUGGGCCGAGAUAGGAAGGAAUCACAGCUAAGCCUGGUUAACACCCACAGCCUCAUCAAAGCACGGCUGCAUUGUUGGUCUCAUACGCUCGUCUCGUCAGGGUUGGCGUCUUGCUGACGGGUGAAAGGGACCUGCUCAAGGCCGCACAGGGCAGGCACUGCUGAGGGGACAUAUUGCCCUGGAAAAGGGCUUUAAAGGUCACUUGGAUGAUGAACAGGGGCAGAGCUAGGAGACUCAGAUCUCAUGAGGCGGUUAUGAGGAUGAAAUGGGUGCUUAGAAGAGCACCCGGCCGGUACGCGCUCACCGAGCUCACCACCACCAUCAGGACGUCUGUCACUCCCAUCCACCCUCAGGGCUGAUUCUCCCAGUGGGGUCGGGUCCCUCUUCCCUCACCCGGAGAGAAAAGGAGGGCUCCUGUAGCAAAGGCUGGACUCAUAGCUGGGCUUCUGGCCCAUGC
Bos taurus (domestic cattle) is the source of this 1796-nucleotide long non-coding RNA. The record is from Ensembl. NCBI's taxonomy places the organism in Eukaryota, Metazoa, Chordata, Mammalia, Artiodactyla, Bovidae.